This 233-nucleotide ribosomal RNA is filed under the name uncultured bacterium. RNAcentral's name for it is "partial 16S ribosomal RNA". It matches the Rfam family "Bacterial small subunit ribosomal RNA", at positions 103 to 334 of the family's 1533-position model. The record is from RNAcentral.
CGGGUGAGUAACGCGUGGGGAACCUGCCUCAAAGAGGGGGACAACAGUUGGAAACGACUGCUAAUACCGCAUAAGCCCACGGCUCGGCAUCGAGCAGAGGGAACAGGAGCAAUCCGCUUUGAGAUGGCCUCGCGUCCGAUUAGCUAGUUGGUGAGGUAACGGCCCACCAAGGCGACGAUCGGUAGCCGGACUGAGAGGUUGAACGGCCACAUUGGGACUGAGAUACGGCCCAG